Molecule: long non-coding RNA, 415 nt
Organism: Eriocheir sinensis (Chinese mitten crab)
Lineage: Eukaryota; Metazoa; Arthropoda; Malacostraca; Decapoda; Varunidae
Exons: 4
Source: RefSeq, a predicted model, not a curated record
CCGCCCCGGCAAAGGUUCUAAUUCCACCUCUCCACCUGGUCCACUGUCUGGUGUUAGUGUGCUCCAUCCCGCCCCGGCAAAGGUUCUAAUUCCACCUCUCCACCUGGUCCUCUGUCUGGUGUUAGUGUGCUCCAUCCCGCCCCGGCAAAGGUUCUAAUUCCACCUCUCCACCUGGUCCUCUGUCUGGUGUUAGUGUGCUCCAUCCCGCCCCGGCAAAGGUUCUAAUUCCACCUCUCCACCUGGUCCUCUGUCUGGUGUUAGUGUGCUCCAUCCCGCCCCGGCAAAGGUUCUAAUUCCACCUCUCCACCUGGUCCUCUGUCUGGUGUUAGUGUGCUCCAUCCCGCCCCGGCAAAGGUUCUAAUUCCACCUCUCCACCUGGUCCACUGUCCGCCUUGACUUCUACAAUCCCUGGGUU